Long non-coding RNA from Pygoscelis adeliae (Adelie penguin), 373 nucleotides. RefSeq lists it as uncharacterized. The record is from RefSeq and is a predicted model, not a curated record. The transcript is spliced from 3 exons. Lineage: Eukaryota; Metazoa; Chordata; Aves; Sphenisciformes; Spheniscidae.
UGCGGCGCGGGCCGCGUUGCCCCUCGCUGGCCGAGGCGCUGGAGGGGCUGCAGGACGUGGAGCGCUACUACCGGCACCUGUACCUGGAGAGCAAGCUUCUCCUCCUCCGCGUCAGCUGUGACAGCCUGGCAGACAUGGAAGCCCUCCCACAGUCUUGGGAGAGGAUUUUGGAGCGCUACAAGGAAGACGUUGUCCAAGAUACGCUUCUUAAGAUCUCUCUGUUUGUGGACAACCAUCGAGAGCUGUGCUGCUCACCCAGCUCCUGACAGAGAACAGGAGGGACUGAUGUUGACCAGCUUCUACGAGAGUCUGGUGUGUUCCGAGAUGACCACAAAGAGGAUGGUGAAUUGAGGAAGCUUUACUGGUGCUUUUU